ACAGGUGGUGCCAUGAUAUUGGUAGGGAGCAUGCUGCCAAUAAACCUCUUCUAAAAACAGUUUUUCAGGUCAUGAUGCGUUUGUUCAGUCCCCAUAAAUCAACCCUGUUGUUUGUUAUACGUGAUAAAACAAAGACCCCACUUGAACGUUUGAAGCCUGUUUUAAGGGAAGAUAUUCAGAAG
Long non-coding RNA from Alnus glutinosa, 182 nucleotides. RefSeq lists it as uncharacterized. The record is from RefSeq and is a predicted model, not a curated record. Lineage: Eukaryota; Viridiplantae; Streptophyta; Magnoliopsida; Fagales; Betulaceae. The transcript is spliced from 3 exons.